Molecule: transfer RNA, 74 nt
Filed under: Gammaproteobacteria bacterium
Lineage: Bacteria; Pseudomonadati; Pseudomonadota; Gammaproteobacteria
Description: tRNA-Ile
Rfam family: tRNA
About the family: Transfer RNA (tRNA) molecules are approximately 80 nucleotides in length. Their secondary structure includes four short double-helical elements and three loops (D, anti-codon, and T loops). Further hydrogen bonds mediate the characteristic L-shaped molecular structure. tRNAs have two regions of fundamental functional importance: the anti-codon, which is responsible for specific mRNA codon recognition, and the 3' end, to which the tRNAs corresponding amino acid is attached (by aminoacyl-tRNA synthetases). tRNAs cope with the degeneracy of the genetic code in two manners: having more than one tRNA (with a specific anti-codon) for a particular amino acid; and 'wobble' base-pairing, i.e. permitting non-standard base-pairing at the 3rd anti-codon position.
Source: RNAcentral
GGAACUGUAGCUCAUUUGGGUAGAGCACACGACUCAUAAUCGUGCGGUAGCAGGUUCAAAUCCUGCCAGUACCA